GGGUUGUGAGGUUAAGCGACUAAGCGUACACGGUGGAUGCCCUGGCAGUCAGAGGCGAUGAAGGACGUGCUAAUCUGCGAUAAGCGUCGGUGAGGUGAUAUGAACCGUUAUAACCGGCGAUUUCCGAAUGGGGAAACCCAGUGUGUUUCGACACACUAUCAUUAACUGAAUCCAUAGGUUAAUGAGGCGAACCGGGGGAACUGAAACAUCUAAGUACCCCGAGGAAAAGAAAUCAACCGAGAUUCCCCCAGUAGCGGCGAGCGAACGGGGAGCAGCCCAGAGCCUGAAUCAGUGUGUGUGUUAGUGGAAGCGUCUGGAAAGGCGCGCGAUACAGGGUGACAGCCCCGUACACAAAAAUGCACAUGCUGUGAGCUCGAUGAGUAGGGCGGGACACGUGGUAUCCUGUCUGAAUAUGGGGGGACCAUCCUCCAAGGCUAAAUACUCCUGACUGACCGAUAGUGAACCAGUACCGUGAGGGAAAGGCGAAAAGAACCCCGGCGAGGGGAGUGAAAAAGAACCUGAAACCGUGUACGUACAAGCAGUGGGAGCCUCUUUAUGGGGUGACUGCGUACCUUUUGUAUAAUGGGUCAGCGACUUAUAUUCUGUAGCAAGGUUAACCGAAUAGGGGAGCCGAAGGGAAACCGAGUCUUAACUGGGCGUUAAGUUGCAGGGUAUAGACCCGAAACCCGGUGAUCUAGCCAUGGGCAGGUUGAAGGUUGGGUAACACUAACUGGAGGACCGAACCGACUAAUGUUGAAAAAUUAGCGGAUGACUUGUGGCUGGGGGUGAAAGGCCAAUCAAACCGGGAGAUAGCUGGUUCUCCCCGAAAGCUAUUUAGGUAGCGCCUCGUGAAUUCAUCUCCGGGGGUAGAGCACUGUUUCGGCAAGGGGGUCAUCCCGACUUACCAACCCGAUGCAAACUGCGAAUACCGGAGAAUGUUAUCACGGGAGACACACGGCGGGUGCUAACGUCCGUCGUGAAGAGGGAAACAACCCAGACCGCCAGCUAAGGUCCCAAAGUCAUGGUUAAGUGGGAAACGAUGUGGGAAGGCCCAGACAGCCAGGAUGUUGGCUUAGAAGCAGCCAUCAUUUAAAGAAAGCGUAAUAGCUCACUGGUCGAGUCGGCCUGCGCGGAAGAUGUAACGGGGCUAAACCAUGCACCGAAGCUGCGGCAGCGACACUAUGUGUUGUUGGGUAGGGGAGCGUUCUGUAAGCCUGUGAAGGUGUACUGUGAGGUAUGCUGGAGGUAUCAGAAGUGCGAAUGCUGACAUAAGUAACGAUAAAGCGGGUGAAAAGCCCGCUCGCCGGAAGACCAAGGGUUCCUGUCCAACGUUAAUCGGGGCAGGGUGAGUCGACCCCUAAGGCGAGGCCGAAAGGCGUAGUCGAUGGGAAACAGGUUAAUAUUCCUGUACUUGGUGUUACUGCGAAGGGGGGACGGAGAAGGCUAUGUUGGCCGGGCGACGGUUGUCCCGGUUUAAGCGUGUAGGCUGGUUUUCCAGGCAAAUCCGGAAAAUCAAGGCUGAGGCGUGAUGACGAGGCACUACGGUGCUGAAGCAACAAAUGCCCUGCUUCCAGGAAAAGCCUCUAAGCAUCAGGUAACAUCAAAUCGUACCCCAAACCGACACAGGUGGUCAGGUAGAGAAUACCAAGGCGCUUGAGAGAACUCGGGUGAAGGAACUAGGCAAAAUGGUGCCGUAACUUCGGGAGAAGGCACGCUGAUAUGUAGGUGAAGCGACUUGCUCGUGGAGCUGAAAUCAGUCGAAGAUACCAGCUGGCUGCAACUGUUUAUUAAAAACACAGCACUGUGCAAACACGAAAGUGGACGUAUACGGUGUGACGCCUGCCCGGUGCCGGAAGGUUAAUUGAUGGGGUUAGCGGUAACGCGAAGCUCUUGAUCGAAGCCCCGGUAAACGGCGGCCGUAACUAUAACGGUCCUAAGGUAGCGAAAUUCCUUGUCGGGUAAGUUCCGACCUGCACGAAUGGCGUAAUGAUGGCCAGGCUGUCUCCACCCGAGACUCAGUGAAAUUGAACUCGCUGUGAAGAUGCAGUGUACCCGCGGCAAGACGGAAAGACCCCGUGAACCUUUACUAUAGCUUGACACUGAACAUUGAGCCUUGAUGUGUAGGAUAGGUGGGAGGCUUUGAAGUGUGGACGCCAGUCUGCAUGGAGCCGGCCUUGAAAUACCACCCUUUAAUGUUUGAUGUUCUAACGUUGGCCCCUGAUCGGGGUUGCGGACAGUGUCUGGUGGGUAGUUUGACUGGGGCGGUCUCCUCCUAAAGAGUAACGGAGGAGCACGAAGGUUGGCUAAUCCUGGUCGGACAUCAGGAGGUUAGUGCAAUGGCAUAAGCCAGCUUGACUGCGAGCGUGACGGCGCGAGCAGGUGCGAAAGCAGGUCAUAGUGAUCCGGUGGUUCUGAAUGGAAGGGCCAUCGCUCAACGGAUAAAAGGUACUCCGGGGAUAACAGGCUGAUACCGCCCAAGAGUUCAUAUCGACGGCGGUGUUUGGCACCUCGAUGUCGGCUCAUCACAUCCUGGGGCUGAAGUAGGUCCCAAGGGUAUGGCUGUUCGCCAUUUAAAGUGGUACGCGAGCUGGGUUUAGAACGUCGUGAGACAGUUCGGUCCCUAUCUGCCGUGGGCGCUGGAGAACUGAGGGGGGCUGCUCCUAGUACGAGAGGACCGGAGUGGACGCAUCACUGGUGUUCGGGUUGUCAUGCCAAUGGCACUGCCCGGUAGCUAAAUGCGGAAGAGAUAAGUG
This 2753-nucleotide ribosomal RNA is filed under the name Escherichia coli. RNAcentral describes it as "partial 23S ribosomal RNA". It matches the Rfam family "Bacterial large subunit ribosomal RNA". Lineage: Bacteria; Pseudomonadati; Pseudomonadota; Gammaproteobacteria; Enterobacterales; Enterobacteriaceae. The record is from RNAcentral.